GACGAACGCUGGCGGCGCGCUUAACACAUGCAAGUCGAACGGAAAGGCCUGCUUUCCCUGUGGAUUGCGGGUACUCGAGUGGCGAACGGGUGAGUAAAACGUGAGUGAUCUGCCCCCAACUUGGGUAUAAGCCUGGGAAACUGGGUCUAAUUCCCGAUAGGACUGCAGGGUGGUGCCUGUGGUGGAAAACGAUUUUCUAGUGGUUGGGGAUGAGCUCGCGGCCUAUCAGCUUGUUGGUGGGGUAAUGGCCUACCAAGGCGGCGACGGGUAGCCGGCCUGAGAGGGUGGACGGCCACAGUGGGACUGAGAGACGGCCCAGACUCCUACGGGAGGCAGCAGUGGGGAAUAUUGCACAAUGGGCGGAAGCCUGAUGCAGCGACGCCGCGUGGGGGAUGACGGCCUUCGGGUUGUAAACUCCUUUCGACCGCGAGGAAGCCACCUGGUUGGAAGGGUGGUGACGGUAGUGGUAGAAGAAGCACCGGCUAACUACGUG
Molecule: ribosomal RNA, 493 nt
Filed under: uncultured bacterium
Lineage: Bacteria
Description: partial 16S ribosomal RNA
Rfam family: Bacterial small subunit ribosomal RNA
Source: RNAcentral